AGUGAACGCUGGCGGUAGGCCUAACACAUGCAAGUCGAACGGCAGCACAGUAAGAGCUUGCUCUUACGGGUGGCGAGUGGCGGACGGGUGAGGAAUACAUCGGAAUCUACUUUUUCGUGGGGGAUAACGUAGGGAAACUUACGCUAAUACCGCAUACGACCUACGGGUGAAAGCAGGGGAUCUUCGGACCUUGCGCGAUUGAAUGAGCCGAUGUCGGAUUAGCUAGUUGGCGGGGUAAAGGCCCACCAAGGCGACGAUCCGUAGCUGGUCUGAGAGGAUGAUCAGCCACACUGGAACUGAGCCACGGUCCAGAGUCCUACGGGAGGCACCAGUGGGGAAUAUUGGACAAUGGGCGCAAGCCUGAUACAGCCAUACCGCGUGGGUGACGAAGGCCUUCGGGUUGUAAAGCCCUUUUGUUGGGAAAGAAAAGCAGCAGGUUAAUACCCCGCUGUUCUGACGGUAACCAAAGAAUAAGCACCGGCUAACUUCGUG
RNAcentral lists this ribosomal RNA (492 nucleotides) under uncultured bacterium. RNAcentral describes it as "partial 16S ribosomal RNA". It matches the Rfam family "Bacterial small subunit ribosomal RNA", at positions 29 to 507 of the family's 1533-position model. The record is from RNAcentral.